This 438-nucleotide ribosomal RNA is filed under the name uncultured bacterium. RNAcentral describes it as "bacterial SSU rRNA". It matches the Rfam family "Bacterial small subunit ribosomal RNA", at positions 340 to 773 of the family's 1533-position model. The record is from RNAcentral.
UACGGGAGGCAGCAGUGGGGAAUAUUGCACAAUGGGCGCAAGCCUGAUGCAGCCAUGCCGCGUGUAUGAAGAAGGCCUUCGGGUUGUAAAGUACUUUCAGUCGUGAGGAAGGUGUUAAGGUUAAUAACCUUAGCAAUUGACGUUAGCGACAGAAGAAGCACCGGCUAACUCCGUGCCAGCAGCCGCGGUAAUACGGAGGGUGCGAGCGUUAAUCGGAAUUACUGGGCGUAAAGGGCACGCAGGCGGUUAAUUAAGUUGGAUGUGAAAUCCCCGGGCUUAACCUGGGAAUGGCAUUCAAGACUGGUUAGCUAGAGUCUUGUAGAGGGGGUAGAAUUCCAUGUGUAGCGGUGAAAUGCGUAGAGAUGUGGAGGAAUCCGGUGGCGAAGGCGGCCCCUGGACAAAGGCUGACGCUCAUGUGCGAAAGCGUGGGGAGCAAAC